RNAcentral lists this long non-coding RNA (2245 nucleotides) under Sus scrofa (pig). RNAcentral's name for it is "lncRNA (ENSSSCG00070025616.1)". The record is from RNAcentral. Lineage: Eukaryota; Metazoa; Chordata; Mammalia; Artiodactyla; Suidae.
UUAGAAUGGAGAAGAGAGAGAAUUCAGUCUAUUUACCAGCUUUAAAGGUAUUGCCCAUGGAAUUAUUAUUCCAUGGGCAAUGAUGAUAGCUUUCUAAAUUCCAAAAUGGUCAAUCUCAUAAAUAAUAAUAAUAAUUAAUAGUAUGGACCACUUCCUAUGUUCUGAGUAUUUUCUAAGCACAGGAAGAAACUAGUUUUAACAACUUUAUGAGGUGAGUUAGUAUCCCUGUUUUAAUGUCAAGCAAUGUAAAGAAAGAUAAGAUUAAUAAUCAGUUUUAUGACAAUAAGAAUAAUGUAACCAUUGUUUUUUUUUUUUUUUCCGUCUUCUUUAUCUCCCCCAAGUUCAGUUACUUAAGCAUGAUCCAAGACUUGUUCAACUCAUUAUCUACAAUGUCUGGUACAUGGAAAAGAGCCAUCCGACGAGCCCCCUCAAAACUGUGACAUCUCUUGUUGACCACUCAGGGCAUAUUGCGGAAGAGGAGGGCGCGUGAGAUUGUAAGAGCUGGUCACAAGGGGUGCAGUGUUGGAGGAGGUCAUCAAGAGGACGGACCACCCACUGACCCUUGAGUUGGACUCUUCUGUCCUUGGAAUGUACACAUUACCUACUGUUCCCAUGGUGAGAGCUGUUCCUUCACUUUAAAAUGCCAUGCAAUACCUUGAAAAUACUUUAUCUUUAAAAUACUAUAGGAUAUCACUUAUAUGUGGAAGCUGAAUAAUAACACAAAUGAAUCUAUGUACAUGAUAGACUCACAGACAUAGAAAACAAACUGUGGUUACUAAAGGGGAAAGGGAGGAAGGGAGGGACAAAUUGGGAGAUUAACAGAUACAAAUCGCUAUACAUAAAACAGAUAAGCAACAAGGAUUUACUAGCUAGCACAGGGAAUUAUAUUCACUGUCUUGUAUGAACCUAUAACGGAAAAUUAUCUGAAAAAAAUAGCUGAACAACUUUGCCGUACACCAGAAACUAACAGUUUGUAAAUCAACUAUAUUUCAAUUAAAAAAUAGAUUCUGGUGGGAGGGUGGAGAGAUCUGUCUUGUGAUCACUCCAGACAUAGGUGUAAAUUCCCAUGCUUAUUAAACCCACCACUUUGGAGUGACUGGCGUCUUUCUUCAGUCUCCCCCCCGCCCUUCGGGGACAGGGGGCAGUUUUCAAUAUAUAACAGCCUUUGCCUCAACCACUUUAGAAGGACUAGAUGUUUGCUACCCUACUCUCCUGUCUCCUACUCACUCAUAAUUUGGGAUGGAGGACAGCCCUGCCAAACCUGGCAUAUUGCUCCUCACCCCACCUUCUAGGAUCUGUUAGUGAUUCUGUUUCCUUCAUAUGGCUAUAUUGAAACUAAUGCCUUUGAUCCCAAAAAUCCCAUGGGCUUCACUUCCCUUCCCCGCAGUGGGAGCUUGGAUGCUGAGGAGGCUACCUGCUGACCCUGUAUGGCUGGUUUGUGCCCCUCAUUCAGCAGGUCCUCACAUGCCUCUUCUCGAUUCUACCAGCUCCAGCUUCCCAACACACUUAGAAAUACACGAUUAAAUUUCCUCUGUGUGUUUUCAUGGUUAGCUAGCUCAUUACCUUUUAUCACUGAGUAAUAGCCCAUUGUAUGGAUAUACCACCUUUGUUUACUUAUUUGCCAUUUGAAAGAUAUCUUUAAGGAAGUUCCAAGUGGCUCAGUGGUAAGAGCCCAACUAGUAUCCAUGAGGAUGUGGGUUCGAUCCCUGGCUUUGCUCAGUGGGUUAAGGAACUGGCAUGGCUGUAAGCUGUGAUAUAAGUAGCAGAGGUGGCUCGGAUCCUGCAUUGCUUUGGCUACUGCAUACGGCGCAGAUCCAGCUCCGAUUUGACCCCUAGCCUGGGAUCUUCCAUAUGCUGCAGGUGUGGCCCUAGAAAGCAACCAACCAACCAACCAACCAAACAAACAAACAAAAAAAAAAAAAAAAGGAAGGAAGGAUUUGUGACUUCACAGAUUUCAAUAUCACAUUUAGGGUUACCAGGGGUCAACUGUGUGGGAGGGUAGAAGGGAUAAACUAGGAGGGUAGGAUUGUCACAUAUACACUACUAUACCUGGAAUAGAUAAUUAACGAGUUACUGUAUGGCACAGGGAGGUCUGCUCAAUGGUCUGUAAUAACAUAUGGGAAAAAAGAGUGGAUAUAUGUAUAUGCAUAGCUGAUUCACUUUGCUGCAAUCCUAAAGCUAAUACAACAUUACAAAUCAACUAUACUUCAAUAAAAUUUUUUUAAAAAGAUACCUUGUUGCUUCC